Molecule: long non-coding RNA, 205 nt
Filed under: Lathyrus oleraceus (garden pea)
Lineage: Eukaryota; Viridiplantae; Streptophyta; Magnoliopsida; Fabales; Fabaceae
Description: Pisum sativum (pea) long non-coding RNA (PSAT_LNC026421)
Source: RNAcentral
UUGACUACAAAGUGUUAUAUUGAUUGAAACGAUUAUUUUGUAAAACAUAUUGAUUUACUUUCUCAUCAUUAGUACACGUUUCAUUAUAGUUUAAACACAUAUCUGAUUCUUCCGAUAACGGUUCGAGAUAGAUGAGUGUCGAUCCGAAUUUGCUUUCGCUUGCCACUGCAAAUAAUUUCAAAACAAAAUUUAAAUUGAAAAAAAA